This 1266-nucleotide ribosomal RNA is filed under the name metagenome. RNAcentral's name for it is "SSU rRNA". It matches the Rfam family "Eukaryotic small subunit ribosomal RNA", at positions 528 to 1823 of the family's 1831-position model. The record is from RNAcentral.
AAUCCCUUAACGAGGAACAAUUGGAGGGCAAGUCUGGUGCCAGCAGCCGCGGUAAUUCCAGCUCCAAUAGCGUAUAUUAAAGUUGUUGUGGUUAAAAAGCUCGUAGUCGAACCUUGGGCCUGGCUGGCCGGUCCCCCUCACCGGGUGCACUGAUCCAGCCGGGCCUUUCCCUCUGUGGAACCCCAUGGCCUUCACUGGCUGUGUGGGGGAAACAGGACUUUUACUGUGAAAAAAUUAGAGUGCUCCAGGCAGGCCUAUGCUCGAAUACAUUAGCAUGGAAUAAUAGAAUAGGACGUGUGGUUCUAUUUUGUUGGUUUCUAGGACCGCCGUAAUGAUUAAUAGGGACAGUCGGGGGCAUCAGUAUUCAAUUGUCAGAGGUGAAAUUCUUGGAUCUAUUGAAGACUAACUACUGCGAAAGCAUUUGCCAAGGAUGUUUUCAUUGAUAAGGAACGAAAGUUAGGGGAUCGAAGACGAUCAGAUACCGUCGUAGUCUUAACUAUAAACUAUGCCGACUAGGGAUCGGACGAUGUUAUUUCUUGACGCGUUCGGCACCUUUCGAGAAAUCAAAGUGCUUGGGCUCCAGGGGGAGUAUGGUCGCAAGGCUGAAACUUAAAGAAAUUGACGGAAGGGCACCACCAGGGGUGGAACCUGCGGCUUAAUUUGACCCAACACGGGGAAACUCACCAGGUCCAGACACAGUGAGGAUUGACAGAUUGAGAGCUCUUUCUUGAUUCUGUGGGUGGUGGUGCAUGGCCGUUCUUAGCUGGUGGAGUGAUUUGUCUGCUUAAUUGCGAUAACGAACGAGACCUUAACCUGCUAAAUAGCCCGUACUGCUUUGGCAGUUCGCUGGCUUCUUAGAGGGACUAUCGGCUCAAGCCGAUGGAAGUUUGAGGCAAUAACAGGUCUGUGAUGCCCUUAGAUGUCCUGGGCCGCACGCGCGUUACACUGACAGGGCCAGCGAGUACCUCCUUGGCCGAAAGGCCCGGGUAAUCUUGUUAAACCCUGUCGUGCUGGGGAUAGAGCAUUGCAAUUAUUGCUCUUCAACGAGGAAUCCCUAGUAAGCGCAAGUCAUCAGCUUGCGUUGAUUACGUCCCUGCCCUUUGUACACACCGCCCGUCGCUACUACCGAUUGAAUGGCUCAGUGAGACCUCCGGACUGGCCCAGAGAGGUGGGCAACUGCCACUCAGGGCCGGAAAGCUGUUCAAACUCGGUCAUUUAGAGGAAGUAAAAGUCGUAACAAGGUCUCCGUUGGUGAACCAGCGGAGG